This 458-nucleotide ribosomal RNA is filed under the name Xanthomonas sp. oral taxon 037. Its description in RNAcentral is "bacterial SSU rRNA". It matches the Rfam family "Bacterial small subunit ribosomal RNA", at positions 32 to 486 of the family's 1533-position model. The record is from RNAcentral. Lineage: Bacteria; Pseudomonadati; Pseudomonadota; Gammaproteobacteria; Lysobacterales; Lysobacteraceae.
AACGCUGGCGGUAGGCCUAACACAUGCAAGUCGAACGGCAGCACAGGAGAGCAUGCUCUCUGGGUGGCGAGUGGCUGACGGGUGAGGAAUGCAUCGGAAUCACUCUCGUGGGGGAUAACGUAGGGAAACUUACGCUAAUACGCAUACGACCUACGGGUGAAAGCCGGGGACCUUCGGGCCUGGCGCGAAAGAAUGAGCCGAUGCCCGAUUAGCUAGUUGGCGGGGUAAGAGCCCACCAAGGCGACGAUCGGUAGCUGGUCUGAGAGGAUGAUCAGCCACACUGGAACUGAGACACGGUCCAGACUCCUACGGGAGGCAGCAGUGGGGAAUAUUGGACAAUGGGCGCAAGCCUGAUCCAGCCAUACGCGUGGGUGAAGAAGGCCUUCGGGUUGUAAAGCCCUCUCUGUGGGAAAGAAAAGCAGUCGGUAAUACCCGAUUGUUCUGACGUACCCAAGAAU